This 137-nucleotide small nucleolar RNA is filed under the name Vulpes vulpes (red fox). Lineage: Eukaryota; Metazoa; Chordata; Mammalia; Carnivora; Canidae. The record is from RNAcentral.
UUGGCCCUGAAUCAAGGCCAACAGUUUGCUGAAGCUGUUGGUUUCAAGCAGGAGCCUAAAGAAAUGUCUUUCUAUGGUCUGUUGGCCAUUUCAGAACUUUGGAAAUGUAAUGGUCAAUUCAUUAGAAAGAAACAUCU